This 253-nucleotide ribosomal RNA is filed under the name uncultured bacterium. Its description in RNAcentral is "partial 16S ribosomal RNA". It matches the Rfam family "Bacterial small subunit ribosomal RNA", at positions 524 to 776 of the family's 1533-position model. The record is from RNAcentral.
UACGUAGGGGGCAAGCGUUGUCCGGAAUUAUUGGGCGUAAAGCGCGUGUAGGCGGCUCGGUAAGUCUGCUGUGAAAGUCCAGGGCUCAACCCUGGAAUGCCGGUGGAUACUGUCGAGCUCGAGUCCGGAAGAGGCGAGUGGAAUUCCCGGUGUAGCGGUGAAAUGCGCAGAUAUCGGGAGGAACACCUAUGGCGAAGGCAGCUCGCUGGGACGUUACUGACGCUGAGACGCGAAAGCGUGGGGAGCAAACAGG